AUCCCCACCAAAGUCAAUUUUAUUUUAGUCAAGGAUUCACAAUCUCUUAUAUGUCCUUUAUCUGAGGACAAUACAUUAGACGAAUUUCUGGAGCCGGGAGACGGAAGAGGAGCUUACUCCAUCCACUCCACACAUCACUCUGGUAUUUCAGUACCUCCAGGAAUGAUGGUCCCCUU
Fukomys damarensis (Damara mole-rat) is the source of this 176-nucleotide small nuclear RNA. Its record names the gene U2. It matches the Rfam family "U2 spliceosomal RNA". From Rfam's summary of the family: U2 is a small nuclear RNA (snRNA) component of the spliceosome (involved in pre-mRNA splicing). Complementary binding between U2 snRNA (in an area lying towards the 5' end but 3' to hairpin I) and the branchpoint sequence (BPS) of the intron results the bulging out of an unpaired adenosine, on the BPS, which initiates a nucleophilic attack at the intronic 5' splice site, thus starting the first of two transesterification reactions that mediate splicing. The record is from Ensembl. Lineage: Eukaryota; Metazoa; Chordata; Mammalia; Rodentia; Bathyergidae.